Long non-coding RNA from Puntigrus tetrazona (Sumatra barb), 673 nucleotides. RefSeq lists it as uncharacterized. NCBI's taxonomy places the organism in Eukaryota, Metazoa, Chordata, Actinopteri, Cypriniformes, Cyprinidae. The record is from RefSeq and is a predicted model, not a curated record. The transcript has 4 exons.
GUUAUUAUUGGUUUUACCUUAGUGGUUCAGGGUAAAACACAGUUUGGAAAAUAGAUUGAUUAUGUACUCGCUUGUACAUUUUUAACACAUUAAAUUUACUUCAUACAGCUUUAAUGAACGAUUACGAUUUGAGGCUUAUCAGAGCUACUGAAAUAAUAAUAAUAAUAAAAAAAAAAACAAAUCGAAAAUUAAAUCGUCUUCAUUAUCUUGCCAACAUAUGCUGCAAAUACAAAAGCGACCACAUCAAAACAAAACAAUAUAACCCUGCCCAAAACAAUGCAAUGGAUUUAAUGGUUAUAUUGGGAAUUUUAUUUGUUUUAAAGUAAACUAUAAUGGUGUCUGACCACAUCAGAAAUGUUUAAGGGAACUGGUGACGAACAUGACACGAGAUUGCUUAAAGACGUCUGCUCUGAAAGAUUUAGAGUUUUUCCAUGUGAGGACAUGAGAGAUUCUGAGCCCUGCAGAAUGAAACACACUGAAGUACAAACAGAGCUGAUUGAGGAAAACAUAAAGAUUGAAGAACCGAGUGAAGAAGAGGAGGAGAAACAUCAUGCGAAUACUGGAGAAAAACCUUUGAGUCACUCCGAUGAGAAAUCUUUCACCUGCACUCAGUGUAGAAAGAGUUUGACGAGCAAACAGAGUCUUGAGAUUCACAUGAUGAUCCACGCUGAAG